Molecule: ribosomal RNA, 253 nt
Filed under: uncultured bacterium
Lineage: Bacteria
Description: partial 16S ribosomal RNA
Rfam family: Bacterial small subunit ribosomal RNA
Source: RNAcentral
UACGUACCGUACGAACGUUAUUCGGAAUUACUGGGCUUAAAGGGUUUGUAGGCGGCCUUGUAAGUCAGGUGUGAAAUCCCUCGGCUCAACCGAGGAACGGCGCUUGAUACUGCAAGGCUUGAGGGAGACAGGGGUAAGCGGAACUGAUGGUGGAGCGGUGAAAUGCGUUGAUAUCAUCAGGAACACCGGUGGCGAAAGCGGCUUACUGGGUCUCUUCUGACGCUGAGGAACGAAAGCUAGGGUAGCGAACGGG